UUAACUUAUUUGUAUAUUACUCAGACAACACAAAAAUCAAGAGUUUAGGGUCCUCUGGCAGGCACGGACCAGCCUAAGCCAGUGGUCAUAAGACGGGCCUGCCAAAGCAACAAAGGUAUUGUAAACAAAGGGUGGGAGAUAUACCCCGUAAAGGGCAUGUUCUCAGUAAUGAUCCUUCCGCAGGUUCACCUACGGAAA
This 198-nucleotide unclassified non-coding RNA is filed under the name uncultured fungus. RNAcentral's name for it is "sequence contains ITS1". Lineage: Eukaryota; Fungi. The record is from RNAcentral.